RNAcentral lists this long non-coding RNA (911 nucleotides) under Equus caballus (horse). RNAcentral's name for it is "lncRNA (ENSECAG00000054844.1)". Lineage: Eukaryota; Metazoa; Chordata; Mammalia; Perissodactyla; Equidae. The record is from RNAcentral.
CUAACUCAUGGAAGGCUCAGGUGUGGGAAACGCUGGCUUGACUAAGAUAUCCUGAAAUACAACAGAGUUUCUUCAUCAUGCAUGGGGGAAGUACCUUCUCAUAUAUAUUUGCCAUGAGGACUUCGUGAAAUGCAAUGCAUAGUGCUCAAGGCCCUUGGGAGCAGGAUCCAAGAAUGGUGAGUUUGUCUGGUCUUCUCACCACACCUGGACACUGGGCUGCAGAAACUAGACUUGAGGUCUGUCGCAUACGGCCACUCGGAUGUGGAAACAGGGCUGGUGUCCUUUAACAUAAACACACAAGCAAAGCCAUCUCAUGACGUGCCACUGCCUCACCUGGGCCUUCACUGGUGACUCGUGUGUUCUUGAGGAGGGGGGCUCAUCGCCAGCACUGUGUUGAACACGUCCUCCUGCGCAGAGCUGUGCUCCAGCCUCAUUGGCCGCCCACAUAGCCAUCUGGCUGUGCAAGACUUCUAUUUAGUGUCUUCUAAACAUGUACUCCAUUAUGUAGCACUCUUCUCCUGAGGUUUCUGACUUGACAUCUUAAGCAAAGCCUGAUAAAUGGUAUUAUUUACAAAACUGUGUGUGCAUAUGUGUGUACUGUGCACACGUGUGUUUCUGUAUAUGUAUGCAUGUGUGUAAAACACUCUCUGAUUUUCCCGGGAUGGUUCCAGAGCCUGUGCUGGGGCAGGCCAGUGGCUGAUUCUGAAAACUUCCAUGUACUCCUGGUCUGUGGGGUGGUAGGAAGGUCCUUAUACCCGCUCCCCCAUCUCUAGACUCAGCAUCAGUCCUGGUACCCUCUGGAGAAGCAAAUUGGGUGGAAAGUUAAAUCAUUUCCACAUAUGCCGAAGUCCCAAUGCACCAAACACUAAUAUGGAUAAAAUAAAUGCAUAAACUUUUGAAGCAUAUUAUCG